This 240-nucleotide ribosomal RNA is filed under the name uncultured Staphylococcus sp. RNAcentral's name for it is "partial 16S ribosomal RNA". It matches the Rfam family "Bacterial small subunit ribosomal RNA", at positions 100 to 334 of the family's 1533-position model. The record is from RNAcentral. Lineage: Bacteria; Bacillati; Bacillota; Bacilli; Caryophanales; Staphylococcaceae.
GGACGGGUGAGUAACACGUGGAUAACCUACCUAUAAGACUGGGAUAACUUCGGGAAACCGGAGCUAAUACCGGAUAAUAUUUUGAACCGCAUGGUUCAAAAGUGAAGGACGGUCUUGCUGUCACUUAUAGAUGGAUCCGCGCUGCAUUAGCUAGUUGGUAAGGUAACGGCUUACCAAGGCAACGAUGCAUAGCCGACCUGAGAGGGUGAUCGGCCACACUGGAACUGAGACACGGUCCAG